This 232-nucleotide signal recognition particle RNA is filed under the name human gut metagenome. Its description in RNAcentral is "Bacterial large signal recognition particle RNA". It matches the Rfam family "Bacterial large signal recognition particle RNA", at positions 4 to 229 of the family's 256-position model. From Rfam's summary of the family: The signal recognition particle (SRP) is a universally conserved ribonucleoprotein involved in the co-translational targeting of proteins to membranes. The record is from RNAcentral.
UACCAGCCGGGGAAGUAGCGGAGCCCUGCACCCGAAAUCCGCUCCAGCGGGGGUCGAUUCCUCUUUUGAGGGCCGAAUCGAUGCGGCAGGCACUCGCGUUUUGUGUUGACGAGUGGGUCUCACGCAAUCAGACGCCGUGAACCAUGUCAGGUGGGGAACCAAGCAGCAUUAAGCGGCUUCCCUGAUGUGCCGUGAGGUCGCCUGCUCUGAGCAGAGCGCCCGGAUACCGCGC